AGGGCUGCACCCAUGGCAUAUGGAAGUUCCCAGGUGUGGGGUCAAAUCUAAGCUACAGCUGCUGGCCUGUGCCACAGCCACAGCCACAGCAAUGCCAGAUCCUUAACCCAGUAGGGUCAGGGAUUGAACUGCAUCCUCCUGGAUACUAGUUAGGUUUGCUACCACUGUGCCACAAUGGAAACUCCUCAGGGCACUAGAGUUUUCAUGUAAAAUUUGAAUGGAAAGAGUGAUUUAGUUCAGCAUAGAGCUAAUGCCUCCCAAAGUGAAAUCUUUUGUUCAACAAGUCUAAGCAAGGGGAGAGCAACAGGCUCAGAAUGCUUGUGAUUUGUGUACUGAGUGAGCAAGAAUCAUUUUUUUUUAUAUAUAUUUAGCAACUUAAAUGCUAACAGGAUAGCUGAGGAAAUUAAAAGGGCUGGGAGUGAAGGCAGACAGACCAGGGAAGAGCCUAUGGCAAUUGUCAGCCUAGAAAUGAUGAGGGUCUUGGCAGCAAAAUGAAGGAGAGAUGAUUUUUGCCAGGUAUUUCAGAAGGAUGACUAUCCAGGGCUUGGUAAAUGACUUGACAUGGCAGUAGAGAUGAAUAAAUCAGGGGUGACGCUAAGAUUCUUCUUCAAGGCUUUGAACAUGUCUAAGAUUGAACUCAUUACCUCUUCACAAAUGCAGCUCCUCCUCCUCCCAACUCCUGACAUCCUCAUCAUCUCAGUUAUAGAGGAUCCAUUUCCUCUAAAGUAGCUUUUUAACAGUACCCUCCUGCCUGGUCAUUCUGCCUUUAGUGCUCCCAACCUUCGUAUGUUGGUGUCAUCCAUAAACUGGAAAUAGGGUGCAUUUUCGGCAGUUCUGUUCAUAUCACUAGUUGGACCAACAAUCAUUUUCAGCCAAUGAGUUUGGAAAAUCUGGGGUUAGAAAACUAAAAGAAUAAACAGGAAAAGAAGCCUAUGUUAAAUUGGUAGUUAAUUAAUCAUUAUAUAUCAUAGAGUUUCCAAAGUAUUUUCACAUUUGAUUUUAUAACAACUCUCUAAAAGAGGAAUCCCCUUCCAAUGAUGGAUAUGAGACUCAAAGAUGUAACUCUGGCUGAAAAUCACAGAGCUAUUAAAUUUUAGUAACUUUCAGUGGAGUGCAAUAUAGAAACUUGUAAUAAUGAAACAGUUCCUUCUUUUUAUCUAAAUUUAAUUUCCCAUAUUAGAGACAACAGGCUAUGAGGGCUAAAUGUACCAGGAUUAAUAACCAGAGAGUAUAUGGAAUUUUUCCAAUCACACUAUGAAUUUGACUCAUCCAACCUUCAUCUUUUAUAUGCCACAAAAUUUCUAGGGCAUAGUCUAAAAGCACAUUUUUUUUCUUUUUCUUUUUAAUACUGCUCUGUCACCAAGAAUUGGGAGAAAUGGCUGAGCUCUCCAUUCUCUGAGUUUAGGUGACAUCCAAACUCUUGGCACAAUAUCAUGAGCAGCAGCAAUAUCAUGAGCAGUUAUCCACGUCUCACCUCUGGCUACAGAUCUCAGGCUAGUUGUUCCUGAGAAAUAGUUCCAGACCUAAAAGGCAGCAGAUCAAGUUUCUGGAGAAGACCAGGUUGACUUAAUAGCAGAUCCUCUCUCUCAGAUUAUGUCCCAUAGUGAUAACCUGGUCCUUAUUGCUUAGACCUUCAGCUUGACCUUGUCUUGCCUGCCUGCCUUCCCUGAAGUCAUACACAAAGGCCUCUGGUUCCACUUCCGACCCUUGGUUCAAAGAACAGCUGCCUCAUAGCAGGGAUUUUUCUGUAUUUGAAGUAAGACGACCCAUAUUUAAAUCCUAUUCCUUCCUCAUACAAUCAGAACAAUCUUUAGCUAACAUUUAUUGAGAUUUACUGAAUGCCACACUCUAUUCUUAGCACUUCAUGCGUUAACUCAUUUAUUUUUCACAACAUCAGUAUGAGUUAAGUAUUGUUAUUAUUAUCCCCAUUUUAUUUCUACAGAGUCUGACACACUGGCAGGUUAGGUUACUUGCUCAAGCUGGUUAGUAGCAGAGCUAGAACCAUUGGCAAUUCAUUAUCCUAUGUGAACUGACUUCUUCAUUAGUAAACUGGAGAUAAGAGCACUGCCCUUAUAGAGAAAAUGUGAAAAUACUUAUUAAGCUACACGAAGCUCUGUAAAUUCCCAAAUUGUUAUUAUUGACUGAUGCCUUGAUACCACACCCAGCCAGAUCCUAAAUAAUCUGUCUAGCUCUGAUCCAUGGCUUUCUCAGACUUUCUAGUUACUUUCAUCCUGGGCAGCCACUUCCAUUUGUAGCCUGCAGGUACAUAUACAUUGAUAUUACCAGCAAGAGCUUCCCUCCUCUAAAUCAAAUAAACCAUUUUCUCCCACUUUAUCUAGCUAGCCAAAAUGAGUGUGCUGAAUUGACAUAUUGCUUAAAUGAGGACUGCAAUGGCCCCAAACAAUAAUUCCAUGACAGAGACAAACCUAAAAGCUAUUAUAUACUAUCUAAUAUCCCUAUAAGUAUGAUAAUUCAUAUCAAAAAUGUGUCUACAGAGGACAGAACCAUCUCAUAGCCAAUGAAAGCAGAAACAAAGAACAGUAAUCAAAGACAGGAAAGGUGUGGCCAGCAGAGUGUCACUUGAUCUUGCGAUCUAUAUCCCUUAUGUGACUAUAAUGUCUUGCUGUUCUCACAUUGAAAGAAACAUUAAUUAGAUCCAUAAAUUGAUCCAGUGACAGCUAUUUGCCUCAGUGUUUUUACUCUGCAUCGGGCUGUGUUUCCUGAUCAGCCCUACUUCACAUGUUUAGUAAACACUUUACUUGUUAGCAGACUGUGUCUGUGUUUUAAACUUUGGCUCCGUUUUAUAAGAUUGAGCUUCUGGAGCAAUAUAGUUUAAAUGGCAACUUGAAAAUGA
Molecule: long non-coding RNA, 2854 nt
Filed under: Sus scrofa (pig)
Lineage: Eukaryota; Metazoa; Chordata; Mammalia; Artiodactyla; Suidae
Description: lncRNA (ENSSSCG00030017164.1)
Source: RNAcentral